CAUCCCUUUGGCUCCUGAGGCUUCAUGGGAAACGCGCGUCUGUGGUGACAGGCGCUGAGGUGCAGGGAAGCCAGCGGUGUCAGAUAUUUUGUCUCACCAACAAGAGAAGUAUCUACGAGACUGUGGGAGGAUCACC
Molecule: long non-coding RNA, 136 nt
Filed under: Chinchilla lanigera (long-tailed chinchilla)
Lineage: Eukaryota; Metazoa; Chordata; Mammalia; Rodentia; Chinchillidae
Description: lncRNA (ENSCLAG00000023217.1)
Source: RNAcentral